GCGCUCGUAGCUCAACUGGAUAGAGCACUUGAUUACGGCUCAAGAGGUUAUGGGUUCAACUCCUGUCGAGCGCGCCA
Molecule: transfer RNA, 77 nt
Filed under: Erysipelothrix sp.
Lineage: Bacteria; Bacillati; Bacillota; Erysipelotrichia; Erysipelotrichales; Erysipelotrichaceae
Also listed under: 5 other names
Description: tRNA-Arg
Rfam family: tRNA
About the family: Transfer RNA (tRNA) molecules are approximately 80 nucleotides in length. Their secondary structure includes four short double-helical elements and three loops (D, anti-codon, and T loops).
Source: RNAcentral